AUGGUAUCUUAUGUGAUUUAUUUAUUUAUUUAUAUAUUUAAUAGUUGUAAAACACAUGUAAAUGCAUGAUUGCUGCUAUUUAAGAUUUUUAAAUAUUAGACAAAUUUUAAUAUGGAUUAGAUGUGAACAUAUUUAUCUUACAAAGUUAUUUAAUAUUUUUACAGGAUACAUUAUAUUCUUAAUUUAGAUAAGUUUUGCCA
RNAcentral lists this long non-coding RNA (200 nucleotides) under Elaeis guineensis (African oil palm). RNAcentral describes it as "long non-coding RNA (EGUI_LNC013980)". The record is from RNAcentral. Lineage: Eukaryota; Viridiplantae; Streptophyta; Magnoliopsida; Arecales; Arecaceae.